CUAUGUCGGCGACCGGCGCACGGGUGCGUAACGCGUAUGCAACCUACCCAUUACAGGGGGAUAACACUGAGAAAUCGGUACUAAUACCCCAUAACAUCCAGGGAGGCAUCUUCUUGGGUUGAAAACUCCGGUGGUAAUGGAUGGGCAUGCGUUGUAUUAGCUGGUUGGUAAGGUAACGGCUUACCAAGGCGACGAUACAUAGGGGGACUGAGAGGUUAACCCCCCCACAUUGGUACUGAGACACGGACCAAACUCCUACGGAAGGCAGCAG
RNAcentral lists this ribosomal RNA (271 nucleotides) under uncultured bacterium. Its description in RNAcentral is "partial 16S ribosomal RNA". It matches the Rfam family "Bacterial small subunit ribosomal RNA", at positions 83 to 354 of the family's 1533-position model. The record is from RNAcentral.